GACGAACGCUGGCGGCGUGCUUAACACAUGCAAGUCGAACGGAAAGGCCCUGCUUUUGUGGGGUGCUCGAGUGGCGAACGGGUGAGUAACACGUGAGUAACCUGCCCUUGACUUUGGGAUAACUUCAGGAAACUGGGGCUAAUACCGGAUAGGAGCUCCUGCUGCAUGGUGGGGGUUGGAAAGUUUCGGCGGUUGGGGAUGGACGCGCGGCUUAUCAGCUUGUUGGUGGGGUAGUGGCUUACCAAGGCUUUGACGGGUAGCCGGCCUGAGAGGGUGACCGGCCACAUUGGGACUGAGAUACGGCCCAGACUCCUACGGGAGGCAGCAGUGGGGAAUAUUGCACAAUGGGCGGAAGCCUGAUGCAGCAACGCCGCGUGCGUGAUGACGGCCUUCGGGUUGUAAACCGCUUUCGCCUGUGACGAAGCGUGAGUGACGGUAAUGGGUAAAGAAGCACCGGCUAACUACGUG
This 468-nucleotide ribosomal RNA is filed under the name uncultured bacterium. RNAcentral describes it as "partial 16S ribosomal RNA". It matches the Rfam family "Bacterial small subunit ribosomal RNA", at positions 28 to 507 of the family's 1533-position model. The record is from RNAcentral.